GACGAACGCUGGCGGCGUGCUUAACACAUGCAAGUCGAACGGUAAGGCCCUUCGGGGUACACGAGUGGCGAACGGGUGAGUAACACGUGGGUGAUCUGCCCUGCACUUCGGGAUAAGCCUGGGAAACUGGGUCUAAUACCGGAUAGGACUCCGGACUGCAUGGUCUGGGGUGGAAAGCUUUUGCGGUGUGUGAUGGGCCCGCGGCCUAUCAGCUUGUUGGUGGGGUGAUGGCCUACCAAGGCGACGACGGGUAGCCGGCCUGAGAGGGUGACCGGCCACACUGGGACUGAGAUACGGCCCAGACUCCUACGGGAGGCAGAAGUGGGGUAUAUUGCACAAUGGGCGCAAGCCUGAUGCAGCGACGCCGCGUGAGGGAUGACGGCCUUCGGGUUGUAAACCUCUUUCAGCAUCGACGAAGCGAAAGUGACGGUAGGUGCAGAAGAAGGACCGGCCAACUACGUGCCAGCAGCCGCCGUAA
Molecule: ribosomal RNA, 478 nt
Filed under: uncultured bacterium
Lineage: Bacteria
Description: partial 16S ribosomal RNA
Rfam family: Bacterial small subunit ribosomal RNA
Source: RNAcentral